AUCGAACGCUGGCGGAAUGCUUUACACAUGCAAGUCGAACGGCAGCACGGACUUCGGUCUGGUGGCGAGUGGCGAACGGGUGAGUAACAUAUCGGAACGUAUCCAAUAAUGGGGGAUAACGAGUCGAAAGAUUCGCUAAUACCGCAUGCGCCCUACGGGGGAAAGCUGGGGACCUUCGGGCCUGGCGUUAAUGGAGCGGCCGAUAUCUGAUUAGCUAGUUGGUGAGGUAAAGGCUCACCAAGGCGACGAUCAGUAGCUGGUCUGAGAGGACGACCAGCCACACUGGAACUGAGACACGGUCCAGACUCCUACGGGAGGCAGCAGUGGGGAAUUUUGGACAAUGGGCGCAAGCCUGAUCCAGCCAUUCCGCGUGAGUGAAGAAGGCCUUCGGGUUGUAAAGCUCUUUCGCAAGGGAAGAAAACUUAGCCACUAACAUUGGUUGAGGUUGACGGUACCUUGAUAAGAAGCACCGGCUAACUACGUGCCAGCCGCCGCGGUAA
Molecule: ribosomal RNA, 500 nt
Filed under: uncultured bacterium
Lineage: Bacteria
Description: partial 16S ribosomal RNA
Rfam family: Bacterial small subunit ribosomal RNA
Source: RNAcentral